GACGAACGCUGGCGGCGUGCUUAACACAUGCAAGUCGAACGGGUCUGCCCUGUUUUUUGCGGGGUGGGUCAGUGGCGAACGGGUGAGUAACACGUGAGUAACCUGCCCCUCACUUCUGGAUAACCGCUUGAAAGGGUGGCUAAUACGGGGUGUUCUGGCUGUGCCGCAUGGUGUGGCUGGGAAAGAUUCACUUUUGUGGUGUUUUGGUGGGGGAUGGGCUCGCGGCCUAUCAGCUUGUUGGUGGGGUGAUGGCCUGCCAAGGCUUUGACGGGUAGCCGGCCUGAGAGGGUGGGAGGUCACACUGGGACUGAGAUACGGCCCAGACUCCUGCGGGAGGCAGCAGUGGGGGGUAUUGCACAAUGGGCGGAAGCCUGAUGCAGCGACGUCGCGUGAGGGAUGGAGGCCUGCGGGUUGUGAACCUCUUUCGCCGGUGAAGAAGGUCCUGCUCUUUGUGGUGGGGUUGACGGUAGCCGGGUUAUGAAGCGCCGGCUAACUACGUG
Molecule: ribosomal RNA, 500 nt
Filed under: uncultured bacterium
Lineage: Bacteria
Description: partial 16S ribosomal RNA
Rfam family: Bacterial small subunit ribosomal RNA
Source: RNAcentral